CCCAGUGGUUGUCAGCUAUCCAGGCUAGUGUGAUGCCUUGGAUGGUGUUACAGUGCUGGGACAUUAAACACUGCCUUGUUUGGGUGCUGACUUCAGCGCUGUUCUUGUGCUGUAAACCAGUACUCUGGGCAGUGUUUUGCACCUUCUGAGAGUGGAUUGACUUCUUUAAUGGAGUUAGUCCUAGUCUGGGUGCAUACAUU
This is a small nucleolar RNA of Suncus etruscus (white-toothed pygmy shrew), 200 nucleotides long. RefSeq annotates it as small nucleolar RNA SNORA74. The record is from RefSeq and is a predicted model, not a curated record. NCBI's taxonomy places the organism in Eukaryota, Metazoa, Chordata, Mammalia, Eulipotyphla, Soricidae. The transcript has a single exon.